This 253-nucleotide ribosomal RNA is filed under the name uncultured bacterium. RNAcentral's name for it is "partial 16S ribosomal RNA". It matches the Rfam family "Bacterial small subunit ribosomal RNA", at positions 524 to 776 of the family's 1533-position model. The record is from RNAcentral.
UACGGGGGGGGCAAGCGUUGUUCGGAAUUACUGGGCGUAAAGGGCUCGUAGGCGGCCAACUAAGUCAGACGUGAAAUCCCUCGGCUUAACCGGGGAACUGCCUCUGAUACUGGAUGGCUUGAGAUUGGGAGAGGGAUGCGGAAUUCCAGGUGUAGCGGUGAAAUGCGUAGAUAUCUGGAGGAACACCGGUGGCGAAGGCGGCAUCCUGGACCAAUAUUGACGCUGAGGAGCGAAAGCCAGGGGAGCAAACGGG